UAGACGUUAGUCUAACCAAGACAGUUGAUUUCGACUCAACAGAUCUGGCCUAACCCCAGACGUCUAC
RNAcentral lists this transfer RNA (67 nucleotides) under Cyclura pinguis. Its description in RNAcentral is "tRNA-Arg". Lineage: Eukaryota; Metazoa; Chordata; Lepidosauria; Squamata; Iguanidae. The record is from RNAcentral.